UCGGAUGUGAAAUCGCCGGGCUCAACCUGGGAACUGCAUUCGAAACUGGCAGGCUAGAGUCUUGUAGAGGGGGGUAGAAUUCCAGGUGUAGCGGUGAAAUGCGUAGAGAUCUGGAGGAAUACCGGUGGCGAAGGCGGCCCCCUGGACAAAGACUGACGCUCAGGUGCGAAAGCGUGGGGAGCAAACAGGAUUAGAUACCCUGGUAGUCCACGCUGUAAACGAUGUCGAUUUGGAGGUUGUGCCCUUGAGGCGUGGCUUCCGGAGCUAACGCGUUAAAUCGACCGCCUGGGGAGUACGGCCGCAAGGUUAAAACUCAAAUGAAUUGACGGGGGCCCGCACAAGCGGUGGAGCAUGUGGUUUAAUUCGAUGCAACGCGAAGAACCUUACCUGGUCUUGACAUCCACAGAACUUNNCAGAGAUGNNUUGGUGCCUUCGGGAACUGUGAGACAGGUGCUGCAUGGCUGUCGUCAGCUCGUGUUGUGAAAUGUUGGGUUAAGUCCCGCAACGAGCGCAACCCUUAUCCUUUGUUGCCAGCGGUUAGGCCGGGAACUCAAAGGAGACUGCCAGUGAUAAACUGGAGGAAGGUGGGGAUGACGUCAAGUCAUCAUGGCCCUUACGACCAGGGCUACACACGUGCUACAAUGGCAUAUACAAAGAGAAGCGACCUCGCGAGAGCAAGCGGACCUCAUAAAGUAUGUCGUAGUCCGGAUUGGAGUCUGCAACUCGACUCCAUGAAGUCGGAAUCGCUAGUAAUCGUAGAUCAGAAUGCUACGGUGAAUACGUUCCCGGGCCUUGUACACACCGCCCGUCACACCAUGGGAGUGGGUUGCAAAAGAAGUAGGUAGCUU
Molecule: ribosomal RNA, 848 nt
Filed under: Klebsiella pneumoniae
Lineage: Bacteria; Pseudomonadati; Pseudomonadota; Gammaproteobacteria; Enterobacterales; Enterobacteriaceae
Description: bacterial SSU rRNA
Rfam family: Bacterial small subunit ribosomal RNA
Source: RNAcentral